This 492-nucleotide ribosomal RNA is filed under the name uncultured bacterium. RNAcentral's name for it is "partial 16S ribosomal RNA". It matches the Rfam family "Bacterial small subunit ribosomal RNA", at positions 29 to 507 of the family's 1533-position model. The record is from RNAcentral.
AGUGAACGCUGGCGGUAGGCCUAACACAUGCAAGUCGAACGGCAGCACAGUAAGAGCUUCCUCUUCCGGUUGGGGGGGGGCGGAGGGGUGAGAAAUACAUCGGAAUCUCCUUUUUGGGGGGGAAUAACGGGGGAAAACUUCCCCUAAUACCGCAUACUCCCAACGGGUGAAAGCAGGGGAUCUUCGGACCUUGCGCGUUUGAUUGAGCCGAUGUCGGAUUAGCUAGUUGGCGGGGUAAAGGCCAACCAAGGCGACGAUCCGUAGCUGGCCUGAGAGGUUGAUCAGCCACACUGGAACUGAGACACGGUCCAGACUCCUACGGGAGGCAGCAGUGGGGAAUAUUGGACAAUGGGCGCAAGCCUGAUCCAGCAAUGCCGCGUGAGUGAAGAAGGCCUUCGGGUCGUAAAGCUCUUUUGUUAGGGAAGAAAAGCAGCAGGUUUAUACCCCGCUGUUUUGACGGUACCCAAAGAAUAAGCAACGGCUAACUUCGUG